Molecule: long non-coding RNA, 4527 nt
Filed under: Manihot esculenta (cassava)
Lineage: Eukaryota; Viridiplantae; Streptophyta; Magnoliopsida; Malpighiales; Euphorbiaceae
Description: long non-coding RNA (MESC_LNC007563)
Source: RNAcentral
AACACAGGAACCACACCGGAAAACUCUCUCAAUCUCCGAUAUGCCCGAAGAAAAAGAAGAAUCCACUUCCAUUCCUCUCAGCCACCCCGACAAUACCGGCGACGAUCCCGAGGAUUCUGCCAAGUCUCCCCCUUCCUCCAAUUCCUCCACUCGUGAGGUCCGCUUUUAUUUCUUGAGAUUCAACUGUUUGAUUUCUAUUUAUUUUCACUGCCAUUGUUUGUUAGAUUUAGCAUUCAUGGAUCUAUACAUUUCACCUCUUGGUAGCCAUUGAUGUAGUUUAUAUUUUUAUUUUAAGAUUUUUUUAGAAUUUUCUAUGAUUUAGGUGGCUAAUUAUGAUUCGGAGAUUGAUCAUUGUGUGGUAGAUGUAUAAUAUGGCAUUUAAUCAAAACAGGAAAAUUGUAAUGUUUCAGAUUAUAAUGAUUUCCAGAACAAAAUUUGUGAACAGUGAUUAAGACGUUCUGCAGAGGGUAAAGCCAGUACGGUUGUGUACAGCAAACGUUAGGUUGUUUUAAUUGUGAAGCUUGAGUUUAUCAAAUAAUAUUUUAUAAACUGUAAAUGGAUAUAUUGUUGUCGGCAAGGUAAAUGUUAUUGAAUCAUGGAGACAUUGUUGUAAUACAGCUUUGCAUUUUCUUGUUAAAAUUACUCUCUGCUAGAAAUGGAAUUUGACAAGGUAUGGCCUAAUUAAUUUUGUUAUAUAUGUGUAAUGCAACUUAUAGAGACGUUACAUUAGGAAAUCCACGACUAGGAGAGAAAAGGAAAAUCGAAGGAAUAUACGUAUUUGCAGAAGCUGACACCUCGGCCACCAAUGAGAGCUCCAUUGUUCAGUAGUUCAUACCAUUUUAUCAGUAUUAUUAAGAAUAGCAAUGGAUAUACAACCAUCCUCCUCAACAAAAAUAAAUAAAUAAAUAAAAAAAAUAAGAAGAUAAAAAAGAAAAAGAGGUUUGGGGGGGGGGGGGGGUGACUGAAGCUUAAUUAAAUUGAGAAUUCGUGCAAGUUCAAACCCAAACUUCCUCUUAAAUGCAUGUGGAAAUUUGUGUCGUUUCAAACUUUGAUAUAAGAAUUAGAGUCAAUUCCAAUCAUUUAUGUGUGAAUUAAAAAUGACAUAAGCUUUAACCUUGUGAAAGCUUAUUUUCUCAUGUAUGCAAAUUCAUGAGGUUUAUGUAAAAAAUGAUCAUGCCAAGUUUUCAUAUAUGAUAUUUUCGUUCCAUUCAUUUGUUCAGGCUUGUUGUUAUGUUCUCCAAAGUUGGGUCUCAAAGAAGUUUAUGACUGGAUGGUAAGGAGCGUAACUACUACUUGAAAUGUUCUAAACUUCUUUUGAUAUAUCAAGCCUAAUAUUUUGUUGCAUUGUGAAAUUGCAGUGUUGUACUUUUCCCCAUAGCUGUAACAUUCUUUAUUACAUGGUGGCUUAUUCAGUUUGUUGAUGGUUUCUUCAGUCCAAUUUAUGAACGGCUUGGCAUUGACAUAUUUGGUAGGUAGUUUUGUCCAAAGGUUGUAAUUUUAUGUGAUACUGCAAUAUCUCGUUGAUAACUUCAAUUUAAUGCAAGAGGCUUAUAUUUUGUCCCAAAACACAUAACUUAGUCAUAUAAAGAAGGAAAACAGCAAUAUUGAUAAGAAUAAAUCAAAGACUGGAAUACUGGGAGUUGGUUUGUUCUUCUCAGAAUCCUAAAUCAUGUCUUGCAGAAUAAGCAAAGUGUUAUUGUUUACUUUAUCUCAAUGCUUACACGUGACAUUCUAGACGAUUUAUUUGGUAAUGUCCUCAUCAUGAUUUAUGGGUUGGCCAUAUUUAUCAAAGUCUGCAGUGUUAUUUGAGUAUUUUAAAGAAGGGAUACUCUACUGUAUGUCUUGUCAAAAACUUCUUAUAGAAUGGUGCAAGUGCAACCUUUUGUUCCUCUGAAUUCAGUUACUUGGAAAAAAAAUUGUAAAUUCAUGAUACUGAGAAAAUCUUAAAAUAGAAACAGGAAUUGCUCACAAUUGUAUAUUUAUUACUUUCAUUUAUAACAUACUAUUACUUUAAGCUUAUUAUUUUACAAUGAAUGCAAAGAAAUUAUUCUUUGAGAGUAAAAAUAUCAGAAUAACUGUGUUUAUGGUGGUUGAAUAUUUAGGGUUCAUUUGUUUCAAUGGCAUGGCUAGUGCAUGUUGAUUAGCAAUUUCUUAGCUUUUGUUCAAAUUAAAAAUGCAAUAUUAAUUCAUGGAAUAGUUAUUAUAUAAUUUGAAGGUUUUUUUUUUUAAACAUUAAAAUUUAAAAUGUCCAAUAACUAUUUUAGAAAACAAAUAACUCUUUUAAAUUAAUUUGAUAUAAAUUCAACAUACAAGUGAAAAGUAACUAUUCAAAUAGCACAAAUUUCUAUUAUUCUUUCCAUUCCUCAAACCAAAUAGCAUAUUGUUCCUUGUAAUUUUAAAUGAGUUAAUUAGAUUUUUGUCAUGAGUCUUCAUGCUACACUUCCUUUGUGUUUCUCAUAGAUGUAAAUUAUCUGGGAAAGGUUGCAUAGAAUGACAUCAUUUUCAUCUAUGUGCUACCCAACAUUGCUAUGAAAGUCAAAGAGGGAAAAUAGAUGUCUCUGGAUAAUGUUAGCUUUGAAGUUUAUGUUACUGUAUUUCAAGAUAUUACACUACAACACAUUUAUUUUGAAAUGACAAUUAUUCGGUGAAAGUGUAAGUUUGGCUAAUUAUAAAAUCUUUCUGAACAACAUGCUUUUUACCUGGAAAUAUAUAGAUACUAUAUUAUGAUUUUCUUUUUUUUUUUGUUUUUAAAUUAUAUAUUUAAUGUUUGUAUUAUACACUUCAAAGUACUUGGUCUGCCAUGCAGGACUUGGAUUUGUCACAUCUCUGGUAUUUGUAUUCUUCGUUGGUGUUUUUGUUUCAUCAUGGAUAGGCUCCACUGUUUUCUGGCUUGGGGAAUGGUUCAUAAAGCGAAUGCCCUUUGUUAAGCACUUAUAUUCAGCAUCCAAACAAAUUAGCGCUGCAGUUUCUCCAGGUUAAUCGAAUGUCCCUUUAUUAAUUUCACAAAGGCAUCUGGAAAUGCAAUUAUAUUUGUACACAGGGCAUGGAAGUUGCUUAAGGCUGUGCAGUGUGCACAUAUUUUCUUACUCUAGUUAGUUUAACAUGUUAUUAUUACUUGUAUCCUGUUAUCUUACAGACCGUCUUCAUCCUUGGGAUUUAUUUUGCUAUUUGGCUCACUCUGCCUGAGUUCUAAACUAUAUGCUAACUACUUAUUUAAUUACAAAUUGCCUCCAAAAGUGGAAACAUUGCCAAGUAUUGUCUAUUGUCAAUGAUGAUUUCACUUAAUUGGUUGAACCUUUUAUUUCAGAUGGGCAUGGUAGAAAUCUUUGACAUACUUAACCAUGAUUUGCUUUAGCAUUGGGCUCUUUAAUUUCUUAGGACUAUGGGUAUGGUGGACUAAUUUUUCUCUGCAAAUUGUUGUGUUUCACAAAGUUGGAAUUUUUUUUUAUCCAAUUUUAAGUUGACAAGCUUUGUCCUCAUCACUGCAACAGACCCAUCCUGAAAAACUUUGUAAAUGUCAUUUGACUCGAGUCUUUUUUUCCUUUAAUUCCAGUGUAUUGGGACCAGUUGUUAUUUAUUUAAGCAUUUUCAUGUGUUAAAAUUGGUUUACUUGAUAUUGAUAUCCAUGUCUCCUCUACAGAUCAGAAUACCACAGCAUUUAAAGAGGUUGCAAUUAUCCGUCAUCCUCGUGUUGGUGAAUAUGCUUUUGGUUUCAUCACAUCUACAGUUAUCCUUCAGGUACUUCUGUCUUAUGAUGUGCAUUAUAUUGCAAAGGGAUAAGUUUUACGUUUAUAUAUAAGUGACAUCUUGAGACUAAGUUUUCCCAUUCAUUCAGUCCAUUUGUUGUGAAUGUGAUAUUAAGCUCCCACCAUGAUAUUGUAUUACCGUAACAAAUGCAAGUGGCAAUAGAUACAAAUUGUCCAUACUAUAUUUGGUCAUUACUCUUUUUUCUUUUCCCUUUUUAUUUUCCUCCUUGAGAUCAAGCAUGGGAUGGGAGGCCUUAAGUAUCAAGGAUUAUUCUAUCUAGUCUCAAGGAAACUUUUCUUGUUUUGGAAAAGGUGAAAGGUAGGGGAGUCAAAAUUAUGGAAGUGGAUUUUAGUUUGGGCUAUCUUGACCUUUUCAUUCCAAUUGGAAAGUGAAAGUAGAGAGAUUUACUAAUUAGUCCUUGUCACUACUUUUUUCCCAAUUGAAGUUAAUUACAGUAUUCUGAUUUGGCGGUAAUAAAAAUUGUUUUAUUUUUUUUUUUCCUCUCAGUUUUUUUUCCUGUAUUUUACUUGAAGGAACCUCCUCCAAUUCCAGAGUUAAUUUUUUUGGAGAGGGCCAAUAUUAUGUAUAAAAUAAUUCAAAAAAUAUUUAAUUAUGCUCAUUUUUUAUACAUAUAUAUUUUAACUGGUAAAUGUUGCAUAUUAGAGGGCGAUGUUAAUUUUUUCGUGGAGGGUAUUAAUGGUAAAAGAAUUCAUUAAAUUUAUGAUGAGAAAUAAAUAAUUCUAACAUUCCCUUAUAUCAUCAUAAAGUAAUAUAUUUUUU